CAGUCGCCACGGGAAUACGGAGGGGGCUAGCGUUGUUCGGAAUUACUGGGCGUAAAGCGCACGUAGGCGGCUUUGUAAGUUAGAGGUGAAAGCCCGGAGCUCAACUCCGGAAUUGCCUUUAAGACUGCAGAGCUAGCAGGUGAGAGAGGUGAGUGGAAUUCCGAGUGUAGAGGUGAAAUUCGUAGAUAUUCGGAAGAACACCAGUGGCGAAGGCGGCUCACUGGCUCAUACUGGACGCUGAGGUGCGAAAGCGUGGGGAGCAAACAGGAUUAGAUACCCCCGUAGUCCCUGUCUCUUAUAU
RNAcentral lists this ribosomal RNA (301 nucleotides) under uncultured bacterium. RNAcentral's name for it is "partial 16S ribosomal RNA". It matches the Rfam family "Bacterial small subunit ribosomal RNA", at positions 509 to 809 of the family's 1533-position model. The record is from RNAcentral.